CAGACAAUGGCAUUCAUGGAUCCCUUCCUCAAUCCUUGGUACUGGAGAAACAAUUAGCCCUCACCAGGCACAACCUAUUCAUACUGUGCAUUUCCCUCUUGAAGUGAGCGACCCAAGAAUAGGCCCUUGCCUGAUGUCUUUGUGGAGGCCAUCUCACUUCUGGAACAAAGCUUGGCACCUACUAUUUGCAGAACAAGCUGAGGUCAUGGGAUGGAUAGAAGGAACAGUCUGGGAAAUAGUUUCCCCAGUGGCAGAGGCCCUGCUCCAUUAACACCAUGUUCUCUAGGGUUUCCAGGCUUCCAGGAAUUGGGAGCAGGAAGAGGAGACAGGAUGCCCAGUGUACUCCUCUCCACUCUGAAGAGCCCUUACUAUGCAUGGUGCCACCAUUUUACCCUUGGAGGAACUAAAACAGAGAGGCCAUACUGUCUGGGUGAGGCUCCACACCCUGCCACAGGGUCAGAGAAGCUCACUCUAAAUUCACUCUGAUUCAGAGACAGCUGAGCCAAUUCUUCAGGAGAGAAAGAAAAAAAAAUCUAUCCCUCUGGAACCAAAGGGAACCUCCUGGGUCCAUAGCAGGUGUUGGGAUCUAUAAGCCUGGGCUGGCUUAUGAUAGAGGCUGGAGACCAUCUCUCUUCUGUUUCUUUCCUAAUGUUACCUUUGCUACAAAGAUGAGUGACCUGGACUCUCAGAGAGAAAGAUCUAGAUUCAGCCUCACCACCUUGGAUGACUCAAGUCUCUGAGCCUCAACUUACUCUUCUUAGCUAAUCACCGAACUGAACUGGAAUCCAGAUGCAGACGAGUGAAGAGCAAAGGGGUCCAGACGAGGCUGGUGAAACCCACAGAAACAGCUGACCUGAACAUCAGGGAACUCUUGCUCCCCAGACUGAUAGCUGGGAUACCAGCAUGGGACUGAUCCAGACUCCAGGAACAUGGGUUCCAGUGAGGAAACCUCUGAAAUCUACGGGACCUCCUGUAAUACUUCAGUACUUAUCCCUAGCAUAGGUGUGGACUUUGGGAACCCAUUCCACACCCUGAGCCAAGACAUUCGGGGGUGGGCCUAGGCCCUAUCCUAAAGGAUAUGAUAGACUCUGAUGACACCCUAUGGAAGGCCUCACUAUCCAUGGGGGAGCAGAAAGGAUAUGUGAUAUGUAGGGUUUUGGUUGGGGGGAAUGGUAGGGGAGGACGGGAGGGAGAAGGGAACUGGG
Molecule: long non-coding RNA, 1205 nt
Filed under: Cricetulus griseus (Chinese hamster)
Lineage: Eukaryota; Metazoa; Chordata; Mammalia; Rodentia; Cricetidae
Description: lncRNA (ENSCGRG00015040782.1)
Source: RNAcentral